GUGACUUGUCUUCGGUCGAAGUGAGCUUCAAAUCACAGCCCAUGGUCUAUCUUAUGAUAUAGAUUCCUUAUGCUAAUCAACGAGUGUAAUUCUGUUCUGUAUGACCUGUAAGUAGAUCUAGCAGGAACCUCUCUUCAUAUUUAGUUCACAUCAUCCGUUAACAAUUAUAAUCGGUAUUCGCAAAUAUUACUAUGGGCAUUGCUUAGCGCGCCCAGAGUAUCAACUCAGCCACAAAGUGUUCCUCGCUGAACUGUAGAAUUGUGCACUCACUAUACAUUAUUUCCGAGUAAUUGAAUUGUCAAGUCACAUAUUUCCGACAGCAAACGGUCGUCGAGGUUUGAACCCCAGUCUACAGAGUAGAUGUCCGAGCUACCCUCCUGCCCACGACGCCUCGUUGAUGAGGUGGAUUAGUCUGUUAUUGGAAUAACUGGAUUACUUUCGUGUGUGUAUGUGGUUAUCUCAUCGGUCAGCAAAUAGCGCUGUUUUCUUCAUCAUCGUCAUGUCGUUUUCUGGACGGAUUUUCACUUGGAUUUUAUUUACCUUCUUGACGGCAGGCUAAAACAACAACAACAACAACAACAACCUCA
This 587-nucleotide small RNA is filed under the name Aplysia californica (California sea hare). Its description in RNAcentral is "ror". The record is from RNAcentral. Lineage: Eukaryota; Metazoa; Mollusca; Gastropoda; Aplysiida; Aplysiidae.